RNAcentral lists this transfer RNA (84 nucleotides) under Methylobacterium thuringiense. RNAcentral's name for it is "tRNA-Pro". Lineage: Bacteria; Pseudomonadati; Pseudomonadota; Alphaproteobacteria; Hyphomicrobiales; Methylobacteriaceae. The record is from RNAcentral.
UUGCUGGCGGUUAGGCUUGAGGAGCCUCCGGCUUGGAUCUGGAAGUCGGCCACGCUGUCGCCGUUCAGGUCGGCGCCGACGAUC